RNAcentral lists this unclassified non-coding RNA (378 nucleotides) under uncultured Acidobacteriota bacterium. RNAcentral's name for it is "uncultured Acidobacteria bacterium contains 16S-23S intergenic spacer region". The record is from RNAcentral. Lineage: Bacteria; Pseudomonadati; Acidobacteriota.
UCGCGGCUUAUCACCGGCAGUCCCCUUAGAGUGCCCAACCAAAUGAUGGCAACUAAGGGCGAGGGUUGCGCUCGUUGCGGGACCUAACCCAACACCUCACGGCGCGAGCUGACGACAGCCAUGCACCACCUGUGAAAGUGCCCCGAAGGGAGACCGUGUUUCCACGGUUGUCACUCACAUGUCAAGCCCAGGUAAGGUUCUUCGCGUUGCGUCGAAUUAAACCACAUGCUCCACCGCUUGUGCGGGUCCCCGUCAAUUCCUUUGAGUUUCAGUCUUGCGACCGUACUCCCCAGGCGGAAUGCUUAAAGCGUUAGCGACGGCACCCGGGGACUAUAUAACCCCAGACACCAAGCAUUCAUCGUCUAAGGCUAGGACUAC